AUUGAACGCUGGCGGAAGGCUUAACACAUGCAAGUCGAGCGAGCGGCGGACGGGUGCGUAAUGUCUGGGACACUGCCUGAUGGAGGGGGAUAACUACUGGAAACGGUAGCUAAUACCGCAUACGAUCAGAUGUGCCCAGAUGGGAUUAGCUAGUAGGUGGGGUAAUGGCUCACCUAGGCGACGAUCCCUAACUGGUUUGAUAGGAUGACCAGCAACACUGGAACUGAGACACGUUCCAGAAUCCUACGGGAGGCAGCAGUGGGGAAUAUUGCACAAUGGGCGAAAGCCUGAUGCAGCCAUGCCGCGUGUAUGAAGAAGGCCUUAGGGUUGUAAAGUACUUUCAGCGGGGAGGCGUUACCCGCAGAAGAAGCACCGGCUAACUCCGUGCCAGCAGCCGCGGUAAUUC
RNAcentral lists this ribosomal RNA (406 nucleotides) under uncultured bacterium. RNAcentral's name for it is "partial 16S ribosomal RNA". It matches the Rfam family "Bacterial small subunit ribosomal RNA", at positions 30 to 526 of the family's 1533-position model. The record is from RNAcentral.